AGAAGCAGACAGGACUGAGGCUCCCUGAGAUGCAGAAACUGAGGCACAGAGCAAGGAUGUGCCACAGCAGAAGCAAGUUGUGUUGGCAGUAGGAAACAAGAUAAAGAGAAGAACUCAAAGAAUUGAGAGAAGGCUUUGAACAUGAUGAUGGAGAAAUAACACUCUUGGGAGAAAUGAAGAUACUUUCUCCUCCCUGGUUUACCUGAGUUUCCAGCACCCAGUGAUAAGAAAGGAUGGCAUUAGUGAUGUGUACACCUGCAGUGAUAGCUUCACCUUUCUAAAGCAGAUGCCGUGGUAGACAUUUUGCCAGCCCUCCUUUCACUAUACACACAGCUUGGUGUACGCUGGCAGACUUUUGACCUAAUUUCUUAACCCUCAAAUAUUCCAAGACAGAACAAAGCACACAACAAAACCAGAAUGAGGCCGGGCAAAGUGGCUCAUGCCCGUAAUCCCAGCACUUUGGGAGGCUAAGGGGUGGGCAGAUCACUUGAGGUCAGGAGUUUGAGACCAGCCUAGGCAACAUGGUGAAACCCAGUCUCUACUGAAAAUACAAAAAUCAGCCGGGUGUGGUGGCAAAUGCCUGUAAUCCCAGCUACUGGGGAGGCUGAGACACAAGAAUCACUUGAACCCAGGAGGGGGAGUUUGCAGUGAGCCGAGAUUGUGCCACUGCAUGCCAGUCUGAACAACAGAGCAAGACUCUGUCACAAAAACAAACAAAAAACUGAAUGAAUGGAAGCAGAUAAGUGCAGAGAGA
Molecule: long non-coding RNA, 754 nt
Filed under: Homo sapiens (human)
Lineage: Eukaryota; Metazoa; Chordata; Mammalia; Primates; Hominidae
Description: non-protein coding LINC01122:13
Source: RNAcentral